UACUUAUUUUAACUUGAUUUAAUACAUUUUCUUAUUCUAGCUUAAGAGCAUCCAAAAAAACUCUUCUAGUCAAUUUUCAAGUGUCAACAAGCUGUUUUUCUUGGUCUCACAAACUCAACUUUGAAAUGGGAAUAACUUAGUCUCCCAUAUGGUGUCGAAAGCUACUUCAUAGUGGAAAUCUCCUGUAUAUUCAUACAAAAUUUGAGAGGAGCAGGUGGAAAAUAUCUGGCAAUUAAAGUUAGUGCUAUGGAGCUAGGACUCGGAGUGACACAGCCAACCUAUUCGAAGUCCACAUGUUCUGCUAUCAGCAGUUGGUUACGUGACUGUUCCUACUGCAGUGGGGGAGAAGCCUUCGAAGAGAUGACAAAAGAUUUCAUCCGAUUUAUGAUAAGUACAUCUGAGCAGAUGAUUGCAUUUAUCUGAAAGGAAAUGGUUAAAAGCUGUUCUGGCUCUGACAUCGUACUGCAGGCGUAUUGGGGUAUUGACAAAGAAAUGUAGCUUUCUGUGAAUGCAGGAAGCCGCCUCCAAUAAACUUCACAAAGUUUCACAGAGAAACAGACACAAAAAGGUCUCCACUCUCCUCAGUCCUUCAUUUGUAAUUUUAUUUUCAGCAGCAGAUUCCUCUGCUCAUUUGAAACACUCGACUCUGAGCCAGAAGAUGGUGGCACCAUCCUGUAAGGGAAGCGUUCAUCAUCCUCUUGCAGCAGCAGCUGAAGGUCCAUCAGAUGCCAUUUUUCAGAACUGCGGCCUCCAGGUUCCAUACUGGGUGAACACCAGGCACGGAGAGAGCUUUGACAUUGUGAGAUCACAGUAUUCAGGAAGACGCUUUCUAAGAUUUGUUGUUGGAAAAUGCAAAAAUAACAUUGUUAUCAGCUUCUGA
RNAcentral lists this long non-coding RNA (880 nucleotides) under Coturnix japonica (Japanese quail). Its description in RNAcentral is "lncRNA (ENSCJPG00005014013.1)". The record is from RNAcentral. Lineage: Eukaryota; Metazoa; Chordata; Aves; Galliformes; Phasianidae.